Molecule: ribosomal RNA, 253 nt
Filed under: uncultured bacterium
Lineage: Bacteria
Description: partial 16S ribosomal RNA
Rfam family: Bacterial small subunit ribosomal RNA
Source: RNAcentral
UACGGAGGGGGCUAGCGUUGUUCGGAAUUACUGGGCGUAAAGCGCGCGUAGGCGGCUUUGUAAGUUAGAGGUGAAAGCCCGGAGCUCAACUCCGGAAUUGCCUUUAAGACUGCAUCGCUUGAAUCAUGGAGAGGUGAGUGGAAUUCCGAGUGUAGAGGUGAAAUUCGUAGAUAUUCGGAAGAACACCAGUGGCGAAGGCGACUUACUGGACGAUUGUUGACGCUGAGGUGCGAAAGCGUGGGGAGCAAACAGG